Molecule: long non-coding RNA, 741 nt
Filed under: Homo sapiens (human)
Lineage: Eukaryota; Metazoa; Chordata; Mammalia; Primates; Hominidae
Description: HSALNT0357711
Source: RNAcentral
ACCAGUUUUCUGGAGCGCUGUGUGUUCUUAACAGCUGAGCAGUCUGUUUCUCCAAUCAGGUUUCAAAGCCACUUCAACUGCACUGGCCCCUGUGGGUCACUGCUGCACCGCCCUGACCCAUGUGGGUCCCUGAGGAGCGACCUGCCGGGGCCACCUGGCUGGACGAAAAAGACACACCUUGGACUUAAGCCGUGAGAAAAAAACUUCAUCAGUAAGAAGAAUGAAUAAACAGACUAGGUUGAAUCCAUACAAUGGAAUGUUAGCAGACAAUAAAAAGAAAAUGAACUAUUGAUGUCCCCUACUGCACAGCAGAAGCUCUGAAUCGUGUUCCUGAAUGAAAGAAGUCAGGCAGGUUCUUCAGGAGGGAUUCCAGAACAAGGCACUCUCAUCACAGGAGAUGACAGCUCCAUGUGCAUGACGGCCCCAGAAGACCAUCUGGUAGGACAAGAUGUGGAGGUGGAACGCAGUGAUAUUGAUAAUCCUGACCCUGGAGAUGAAAAGAUGGGCCAGGAGUCCAGUUUCUGGAAGGCCAAGAAUCGAAGUAGCAAGCUGCAGCCGUUUUCCAGACAAGCAGGAUGUGGGGAUGCAGAAGAAUUCAGGACUGGAGGGGCAAACUCCAUGGUGUCAGAGCAGAUCUGAAGUAGAGCUUCUAACGACUCCCAGGAGUGCUGAGUGACCGAAGCCAGGUACCUGCAGGACCUAUUUGUGUUCGUUGAUCUCUCAGAGCAGUUGGAAGUCAUG